RNAcentral lists this ribosomal RNA (481 nucleotides) under uncultured bacterium. RNAcentral describes it as "bacterial SSU rRNA". It matches the Rfam family "Bacterial small subunit ribosomal RNA", at positions 1 to 472 of the family's 1533-position model. The record is from RNAcentral.
CCCUUAGAGUUUGAUCCUGGCUCAGGAUGAACGCUAGCUACAGGCUUAACACAUGCAAGUCGAGGGGCAGCAUGGUCUUAGCUUGCUAAGGCUGAUGGCGACCGGCGCACGGGUGAGUAACACGUAUCCAACCUGCCGUCUACUCUUGGCCAGCCUUCUGAAAGGAAGAUUAAUCCAGGAUGGGAUCAUGAGUUCACAUGUCCGCAUGAUUAAAGGUAUUUUCCGGUAGACGAUGGGGAUGCGUUCCAUUAGAUAGUAGGCGGGGUAACGGCCCACCUAGUCAACGAUGGAUAGGGGUUCUGAGAGGAAGGUCCCCCACAUUGGAACUGAGACACGGUCCAAACUCCUACGGGAGGCAGCAGUGAGGAAUAUUGGUCAAUGGGCGAUGGCCUGAACCAGCCAAGUAGCGUGAAGGAUGACUGCCCUAUGGGUAAUAAACUUCUUUUAUAAAGGAAUAAAGUCGGGUAUGCAUACCCGUUGC